UAGUGGCGGACGGGUGAGUAACGCGUGGGAAUCUGCCCUCAGGAGGGGGAUAACGGUUGGAAACGACCGCUAAUACCCCAUAUGCCGAGAGGUGAAACGAAAUUCGCCUGAGGAUGAGCCCGCGUCUGAUUAGCUAGUUGGUGGGGUAAGGGCCUACCAAGGCAUCGAUCAGUAGCUGGUCUGAGAGGAUGAUCAGCCACACUGGGACUGAGACACGGCCCAGACUCCUACGGGAGGCAGCAGUGGGGAAUUCUCCGCAAUGGGCGCAAGCCUGACGGGGCAACGCCGCGUGAGGGAUGAAGGCCUCUGGGCUGUAAACCUCUUUUCUCAAGGAAGAAGAACUGACGGUACUUGAGGAAUAAGCCACGGCUAA
Molecule: ribosomal RNA, 373 nt
Filed under: uncultured bacterium
Lineage: Bacteria
Description: bacterial SSU rRNA
Rfam family: Bacterial small subunit ribosomal RNA
Source: RNAcentral